CUACGUGCCAGCAGCCGCGGUAAUACGUAGGGCGCGAGCGUUGUCCGGAAUUAUUGGGCGUAAAGAGCUUGUAGGCGGUUUGUCGCGUCUGCUGUGAAAGGCCGGGGCUUAACCCCGUGUAUUGCAGUGGGUACGGGCAGACUAGAGUGCAGUAGGGGAGACUGGAAUUCCUGGUGUAGCGGUGGAAUGCGCAGAUAUCAGGAGGAACACCGAUGGCGAAGGCAGGUCUCUGGGCUGUAACUGACGCUGAGAAGCGAAAGCAUGGGGAGCGAACAGGAUUAGAUACCCUGGUAGUCCAUGCCGUAAACGUUGGGCACUAGGUGUGGGGGACAUUCCACGUUUUCCGCGCCGUAGCUAACGCAUUAAGUGCCCCGCCUGGGGAGUACGGCCGCAAGGCUAAAACUCAAAGAAGUUGACGGGGGCCCGCACAAGCGGCGGAGCAUGCGGAUUAAUUCGAUGCAACGCGAAGAACCUUACCAAGGCUUGACAU
RNAcentral lists this ribosomal RNA (490 nucleotides) under uncultured bacterium. RNAcentral's name for it is "bacterial SSU rRNA". It matches the Rfam family "Bacterial small subunit ribosomal RNA", at positions 501 to 987 of the family's 1533-position model. The record is from RNAcentral.